CCAGAAGGUGGCACGGCUCAACAGCAGUAGCAGCUGCAGGGGCUCCAGGGGCUGCUGCACGCUGGAGUAAACGCUGAAAAACCCACGUUGAUAAAGAGAAAAGGGGCUCGACAAGAACCAAUUCUACUUCAGAGGGGCCACAUCCAAGUACCUGGGCUUCAAGCUGGACAAAGAAAUCAAGCACACACCACUUUCUUACAGGUAGCAAGGGAAGAUGUUACGAUGUGAAUGUACCUUUGGUACAGUCAGCUCAGAAGAGGAGAUGGCUCAUGAAUGAUUAUUCGAGUGAUAAUGCAAACUUACUGCACAUGGGAGGGAUGGAGGCUCCCUUAAGAGCUCUGUACUGAGGAAGGCAGCUGUUGGACUCCACUCUUACCACCCCAUGAGGCAGGGGUGUUGCAGGUGCCCCAGAACCGCAGGGAAAACAUCACUUGUAAUCUGCAUUUCAUCAACAUCAGAGAAUUCACAUAGGAGUGGAAAGAAAAAAUAAAUAAAAGUUGACGCACAUCCAUUGGAGAUGAAUUUUUAGGGAACUAGUUGUUUUAAUUGCCGGGAUGAUUCCUUUAAACUAGCACAUCCAAGAGUUAAACAGCUGGUCAGUGAUUUUGGUCUCAUAGAAAACAGAUGUUUGAGCACAGCGCGAGAGCAGCAGAAGGCAGGCUGGGGGUUUGAAAGCAGCACAUUCUGCGGGGCUUGGAGAGAACCCAAGGCCACAUCCUGCAGCCUGCACCCAGCUGAUAAGCUUUCCUCUUGGGAGCAGCUCCCUACACAGCAUGUGCCAGCCCUGGCAGUCAGUGGUUGCCCUCAGGAUUAGCAGAAUCUCAGCAUUGCAUAAUUCCUUCACAUCUGUAACACAUUUCUUCCUGCUAGCUCUAUAAAAGGGAAUUCCUUACUAUCUACGGCCUUGGAUUUGGUUUGCACCAGAAAUCAAUUUCAUUUGCAGUACAAAAUUUAGUUUUUAGCUGCUUUCAAAUAAAAAUGUCGGAUGAGGAAUAAAGUUAAUAAUUAUGAGCAUGUAGCCCAUCCAAAGAACUCUUUUGUCUUUAUGGUCAUAGGUUACAAAUUACUUACAUAUUAGAAGAGCAAUAAAGAUGGGAAGCUGGGUGUAGUGAAUCACCCCAAAUUACACAUUAAAUGCAUCAUACAGGUGUGUAUGAAUAGGCCUGUAGAUGAGUGGUCAGGAUUGUAUUCCAUUGCUGUAAUCAGCAUGCUGGAUCUUGGCCCUGGAUUGCUGGAAGAAUGACUGGAGAUGAUCAUGGCAUGUGUAUAACAGGAACCUAGUGAGCAAAUAUUUUACACUAGCAAAGGAUUAGGGUAACAAGGUUAUCCAUGAAUGAACUCAAGCUGUGAAUGAGUUAGGAGAUGGUGGCUCUGAUUUAGCAGAUCACUUUAAUCACAAUACACUUAUCUAUUCUUGCAUGAUGACAGCUCCAUGCAUAUUUGUAGAGAGAGUUUCUAACCCAGCCUUCUGUGAAUGCAUGAAUGCAGUAAGUGGAGGUGGGUCAGGAGUAUUCUAGCUGCCAUAAACCAAGUCACUUUUGACCUGUUGUUUUUGAGGUAAGUUCAAUAUCAUGGGGAUUUUGAAUUUAAUCACACAUAUAGGUACACCUCAUCCUUUUAAAAAGAGUCAUCCUGUGUUUCUUCUGUCUCUACAUAUUACAAUUUCCACAAGAGAUAAUUGCUUUCAAAAUGCUGAGUAAGAAUUGGUGUAAUGUCUUACCUUAAUGAAACCCAAAAUAAGGUAAGGUUUGAUUUGCUUGACAAUUUUUAUGAGACUCUCUUUUAUACUCUAGCUAAAACUGUAGUUACUUUAGUUGAUAUGUCUCAAAUAGAAGUGACAUCCUAAAGUUCUUUAUAUUGCAGCUUCACAGCAAGAUUAUUGGUUUUUAUUAACUUUGGUCUAAUUUUUCACCAGGUGUUUUAUCACUUCUGGCAGAUUUGUUUGUUUGAUGGUGGACAUGAUAUAUUGAAGGGAAGCAUUUUGCAUUCCAUUUGCCACAAGCACUCUUCAGUGAACAAUGUAAUGUAAAAUUUAGUUCCAGGAUUUGAGUGAUUUUAAAAAUAAUUUCUUUAAACAUUUAAAAGUACAGAACAUGGUCCCAUAAAUUUUAGAAAUUAUGGUAGGAUGAUUUUCCUACCUCUUUGCAGCCAAAAUAUAAUAGUUUGCAGUUAACUUAUGAUAAUUCAGAAUUGCAGAUAAGAACAAAAAUAGAAGCCAAACCAGAUAAGGCUGAUAUAUUGUCAUUGCUCUAGGUGAGAGAAAAGCAAAAUUAAGCAAUACCAAGCAAAACAAAUAGGUCAAGUCCUUUCAGUUUUCCCAAUCAAGAGUUCAUCUGAUAGAAAAGCUGGAAGACGUUUCUUUAUCCUGGAGUACCUUUCUGAGAAUAAAUCAUUUGGGAGGAUGCAGCACUCUGCUGUAGGGUUAUAAUUAUCCUUGGAGAUCUGAGUUGCUGUAACUUUCUCCCGUGACUCUGGAGAAUGGUAUCAGCCAAAUGUAUUGAGCCAAGUCUGCAGCCUGGCUUCAGGUGCAGGUGUGGCACCCAGUCAGUGUGUAAGGCAAGCACAUGAGACCUGGUGUCAACAGAUGCUCACAAAUGAGGGAUUCAGAGUCUGUAGUGAUGUUUGGGAAUCAGGCCUUGACUUGGGAGUUAACUGCUGAUGGAGAUAAGUAGUUUUUAAAGAGACAUGGAGUUUAUGUAUUUCUAGCCUUAAAAGUAUAUGAGCUGGGGAAAAAAAUUACUGAGGUAUACCCUUCCUUUUUAAAAUGAUGAACUUUAAUUAUAAAAAAUGGUUGGAAUGGGAAAAAAAGAGGUGUGAAAGGCAUGAGAGUACAUUUUUGAGAAUUUCAGUACUUAAGGACUAUACCUCUCCCUGCUGUCAGAGGUGAUCACCAAGAAAAAUGAUUUCUUGCACAUGGCAGGUGAAGGGAAUGUAGAAAAUGUGGUCAGUAUAAUAUAGAGGGAUUCCCAUCAACUGAUUUACUGCAGAUAUAUUCCUGAUACCAAAUGUAUUCCAAAAUAGAACUGAAAUAUUUAUUGGCUUGUUAAGUAGUUAGUGAAUGUGUGUGUCUUAUUUACAUAUGAAUGUUUCUCACUGUGGUAUUAAUUGAAAAUUUGACACACCAAAAAUCCUUUUAGUGCUAAGUUAUAAUUUGAUUGCAAUAUUAACUCACCUGGAUUGGUGAUCAAAGCAUGGAAAAAUGUGCAAAGGACACUUAGCUUUAGAAUUUGAUUAAUAUUUUAAAAUAAGCUACUUUUAAUGUGUUCUGAUACUAGAGAAAAAAUACUCCAGUUGAGGAGUAUUGGAAUUUACCCAAUGUGUACGUAAUAUUUGGAAUAGCAUCUCCAGUAAAACUACUCUACAUCUCAGAUAGUAAAUGAUGUUUUCUACUGAAUGUAAUCAUUUCUCACAGCAGUAGUGCAGUAUUUUGUUCAAUACAGAACAAAAGCUGAUUCCUUACUUUUAAGGAAUCUCUAUUGAAGCCUGCAUACCUUGGAAAAAACGUGGUAAUAAUAAUGAUGGAGGGAAGCUUUCAAAGGUGAAAACAAUGUAAUACCAAAACAAACAGAUUGAAUAAAAUAGGGAGUAAACUGAUCUAAAGGGAAAUCUUUUGCUAGAGGUGAAUGCUACAGGGUAGCAACUAAGGCAUAAAGAGUUAUUAGUUAAUCUGAAGUUAUUUAAGAAAUUGAUAGAAUAUCUGCAAGCCUAAGGGACCUGCAGAAAAUUUUGGGAGCCCUCAUUUCACCUUGAGAAAAGAAGGACACAAAUAUUUCAAUUUGCAUGGAGCAACAACCCCAGAUGGGAUACGCUGUGAAUUCUGCAAGUAGUAAGUUAUUGGCUUGUGGCAUAAUAAUUCAAAAUGUUUCUAGGAAAUUGACAUUUUCCGGGCAGUAUAUGAGAGGCAGAAGAAAAAUGCAUCUGGAAAACAGUGUUUUAUUACAGGGCUCAAUGACAGCUGAAGGAGUUGCUUGUGACAGUGAGGACUGAAUCCACCUGCACCGGAGCCAGUCACACCAGACUGCUACAGUGGAGGCAAACAGACUCACUGGAGAGCCAUCCUCAUUUCAAAGCACAUGCAUGUGCUUGGUCUGAGACACUCAUACACUUGUUUGUAAAAAUCCAUAGUUAGAGGAAAUGAAUCCAGUUAUAGGUACCAAUAAGUUCCUUAAAUAGAGAGUGAUUUGGCUCAGUGCAAGCAGUUUCAGAAGCUAAGUGAGGCUUCAGAUUUUCAGUGCACAGGACUGUUAGGCUCCCACAGCCAAAUCUGGAAAGGCUGGGUUGAUAUUUACUCUGGUGCUUGUUCUGAGCACAUUUGUGCAAGAUUCUAUAUGCACAGAACAGAGGAGUAGCACAGAGCUGCAGUUGUCUGGUAGGGCUGACACACACACACAAAUGUACACUUAGCCUUUGAAGGAGCUGCUACACUCUCCUAUGGAAGUCAGUCAUUGUCCAAAAUUACCUUGCUGACUGCAAGUGAGCCAUAAGGCAACAGUAAGAAUACUCCCAGUCUGUUACACUGCCUUGUCUGGGAGGUUGGAAUCAAGGAGAAAAGACACUUUUCUAAAUCUGUUCUUGCAGCACCAAAGGCUUACAGACUUUAACCACAGACCCAUCUGGGGGUCACUGACCAAGUCUAUGAAACCAUUCAGUUCAGUUCACUGAUGUCCUCUCUAUCUGUUUCCUAAAGCUCUGUAUAUUACACAUAGGUUUGGUGUUUAAUUGUACUCUAGGGUUGAUAACCUUUAUUCAUACCACGGCUGGCUCUGUGUAUGGUUGGUAAAUCUGAAUUCAACUCUCCUUGAAGCUUCUGUUCAGCUCUCCAAAAGCAGCACUCUGGUGCACGCCAAGAGGACAAGAUUUGUGGCAAACGGCAAGAUGACAAAAUUUGCAAGUAUGUGAGAUGCUGCACUUAAUAAAAACAACAAAAGCCUGUGGUUGAGCAGAACAACGUGCUGGUGUUUUGACAGCUUACUGCUUUCAUUUCCUCUUCAGUGUCUGAGCACUGUAGACACCACUGUGCUUUAAAGAAAAAUGCCCACAGAAGAGGUUUGUAUUAUGAGAUUGUUAUUUACAUGCUCAAUGUUAUAUAUCAGAUCUGUUCUCCCACCUGCUGGAACUGAUUUAGGGCCCAGUGCUCUCCGCCCUUUUAUCUCUGUGGGGCUGCGUGCCUGCACAUUGUUGGGGAGGGCAGGGGCCACCCACAGAGAACAACCUAGAGGGAAAAUGUGCCCCUGACAGUGCCCAACCCAGGAGAGGGACCUAGAUGUUGUAUUGCAGCCUCUGACUGCUCAGCUUUCCUGUGCUCUCUUCAUCAAUGGAUGAAUAGGAUCAUCAGAGCACAGGGACAGUUUUUCCAUGUUCAUGUCUGCAGUUCUUAUUCCCUUGCUAGGAGAUUUAGGGCAAUCUGUAAGUCUGCUCAAUACUUCCAACCAAAACAUGAAGCAGUAAUCAGAAUUUCAAUAUGUGUGUUACAGUUUAAUUGGUCUGGUCUGUGUGUCUCAAGAUGGUGGGAAUUAUUGCUUAAUCCUCAGUACUAGAAGAAGGGAAGCAGAGUCAAUGGGGAUUAAAUGUGGUAGCCAAUAAAAGUCAUACCCUAUGAAAAUAUUACAAUUAGAAAUGAAAGAUAGCCUUUCCAGAUAGCUUUCCUUGAGCUCUUACAAAUGUUUAGACAGCCUAAUCUAACCACAUAUUUAGAACAGCUAUUUUCAGAGAGACCCUUGUGAACUGUGCUAUUAGUUAGCAUUCUUGGCCCAGGUUAGCAAUGGAAAAUAUUUCUUAUCUGAUUUGGCUGUAUUUAUAAGUGAAAGACAUGUAAUAUGUAUUUUGUCUUUUGAAACAUUUUGAUUUACAAAAAAAACCCGUGUUCAUAAUGUAUCAAAAAAAUUGCCUGUGAACAUUUAUGUAAUUGUCUUUGAUGCUACUCUGCAAAUCUUUUGUAAGCAAUUUAUGUAUAAAUAGCAACAUGUUUUACAUAUGUAAUCUAUCUUUAUAUAGCUAGCUUUCCCCAUUUUUGUAAACUGACUUCAGUGUCUGGGACUAUAGACAAAGCUCUGUCAUUUAACCAUGAAGACAAAUGACAGCCCAGCAACAGGCCAGAGAAACCACAUUUAUGUGUAAUCAGAAAUGAUCUUUCAUAUCACAACAUUGCUGUUUCCAGCCAUCCCUUUGAAAAGUGAGGAAAGGAAAAAUGAUCUCAUAUAAAGUCAAAAGUUCAAUAUUUUGGCAAAGUUGUAGUAAUGAUGUGCAAUUUAGAAUUCUCAGAAAGGACAGGAGAAAAUAAAUUUUCCAAGGAGUGCAUAUGCCCUUUCAGAUUACUACAUAAAAAGUCCUAUAUGUGGCUUUGAAAAAUGGUAUUUAAUGGUUAAAUGGAGAUGGAGAGACAGUGGAGACCAGUAGUCCAUGCAACAACAAAAGAUUUGUGGCCAUCCUUCAUAUCUGGUGUUUGAGAAAAGGCUGUUUGCUCAUAUCUGUCUUAAAAGAAGAGAGAAAAAAACCUUCUUCCAGUCAACACUAAGAAAGAGUCAAUCUGGAUGUAUUCAAGGGAAAAAAAAUAUCUUUUAAGGGUUUUAAAUGGAUUGUAAGAGUAACAUACACAUUUCUGAGAAAAAAAAAUUUCAGAAGUGUUUAGAAAGGACAUACAGCCUGAUUCCUGCAUUUACUUUAUUAUUUAAAUGUUUUUUUUAUUCAAAGAUCCUGAUGAUGCUAAACAAAACUUGAACUUCACUAUAGUGCAUUGACUGACAAUGACUGCUCAGUCUGAGGACAAGGUAUUUCUGCCCUAAUGGUUGUGGUCUGAAGGACAUUUCUGAAUAAGAUUUAAGAUGAGAGUUGCUGACAUUGUGUCCAUAAGCCAUAAGUGUUGGUGCAUCACCUUCCUGAUGCCUCCUUGCAGCAUUUGAAGUAUAAAUUUACAAACCUACUCUCAGUAUUUCAGAUCAGAAAGCUCCUAAAUAUUUGAUAAUGAUUGUGUCUUUCAUUAAUUGGUCAUACUUUUCUUAAUUUUUAUGAUACACAUCAAUCCUUCAGCCUCUGCAUUAAAUUUGAAGCUGGAAUUCUAAAGAGGACCUUUUUCUUUGACAUCACCAGGAUUAGUUUCACCUGGACUGAUCAUUUCUCUUUUGCUAUUAUAAAAAUGUAGCUAUCCCAGAACAAAGUGCCUUUUCCCAAAAAUAGGACAAAAGGACAGCAAUAAUAGGUCUGUAGUUACACUUAGCAUGCUAACUAUUCUCCAGAUGAGUUUCUUUUGUGUCUGGCCUACUUUUCCAGCCUUGGGGAUCUUCUGUAAGACUGAAACAGGGAAAUAGUUUCUCUUUGGGGAAGCAAAGUAGACAGCCUCAGUCAGUCAUUAUGGUUCUUCAUGAAUCUACAUCAGGAUGGGAUCCUCUCACCCUCUGUCUCAUCUGAUUUUUUGCUGUGCUCCGAUUCCUUUUAUGCUGAGGGCUCUUUAUUGUAGGCAGAAAAAUGGUGGGUGGGGUCUUAUGCAUGCCACAGAAAUAUUCUGACUGGGAAGCCCAGCUUGGCAGAAAGAUUCCUAAAUAAUUAUCCAUUGAAAUGUGUUUACUGUACUUGCUUUUGUCCCUCAAUAGCAGAAGAUAAUUAAAAUCAGGGAAGUAUCAUCAAGUAACAUUGCUUGUAUCAAAGGCCAGUGAAGAUUCAGAUCUGCCCAGAACAUUCCUAAUAGCACAUAUUUCAUAAGCCUCAGGGAGUCCCUUGGACUAUUAGUGGGAUUUUGAGUAAAAGAAGGACAGGAUCUCUCCCUGAGGACAAGACACUUGUCCAGAGUGCUUUGGGCCACCCCAUCAGGAUUGACAGCAGCUUGUCUGAAUCUGGGCUAUGGAGCAUUUGGCCAGAAAUCUCCUCUAAGCUGCAUGUGAUGUUCCUGGGGCUUUAAGAAAUAAUUAUCCCUUUUAAAAGACUUUUUAAACAUUAUUAUCCUUAAUGACCUAAUUAUUAGAUCAUAAUUAUGCAUGUAGCAUGCCUUGGGGCAUGGCAGGAAGACACUUGUGCAUGUUUGAAGAAGCAAAGCCUGCUUGUAAAGCUCUGUGUGAGGGGAAUCAGGGAAUCCCCUUGCUUCAGCCUUGGAAAGAGAUCUCUGGAAUGAUCUAUUGCCAGAACCACUCUUGGGUGUAACCUUGGAGUGAGCUAACUACAGUGGUCCAAAACAGGACCAUGGAGCAAGGUGACUGUGACCUAUGGCAGAGGAGCAGAGAUCCAAUACUCAACCCUCUGCCACUGCCUCUUUAAUAUCUAACAGAUAUUCUUAGCUCCCAGUCAAUUCCCAGAAAAAAUAAAUUGAUUAAAACCUGCUUAUUGGAUUAAAAUCUGCUUUUUAGUGUCUUUCAUGGAGCCCAAAAAGAUCAACAUCUUCAGCUCUUUAAAAUCUUACCUGUCUGAAGACUGUUACUGAAGAUUUUCUGUCAAACUGAAGAGAGCAGAGCAGCCAGAAUUGAAGAUGUAGGUACAUUUAGGUGCAGCACAUUAUGGGGCUUUAUUUCAGUGUUUUAAAACCUGUCCAAAGUUUCAUAUUAAGUUAACUAUUACUGUUUUUCAACAUGUUACAGCAGUGAUCUAUUCCCAGAGAGCUUUUGAGUAAUUAAGGUUUAAUUUACUUUGGACUCAUGUCUGCCUGCUUUCUUUGCUUUUUAUUUAUUUAUUUAUUUUAAUUUUUUUUCUUUAAAUAAGUAACUCCUGUUUCAGAAUCUAAAUAGUGUUCCCUUUUCCUUAAUUGGAAAUUUUAACUUAAAAUUUCUCCAAUGCGUUUACAGAAUAAUACAGCAGUUGAUAUGGACUUAAGAAUAAAUAUCUCAUCAUUUCACUUUGUUCUUGUCUUUCCCCUUUCCUUUUAAGCAGCAUAGGUUUGCUUUCUGUUCUCUGGCUGCCCUUCUGAACUUGGAGGAUUUUUCAUGAAUACCCUGGCCAAAAGGCAGUGCUGGAGGCUUAAGUUCAUGGUAUAUUCAUCAAAUACCAACAAGAGGCUAAUUCCCAGAUGGAUAAGGGGGUCUCUCAGAGCUCUUGUGACAUUAGAAAACAUUCUGAUUAAAACCUCACAGUUUAUAUGGCCAAGUGAGCUCUUCUCCUCUACAGCACUGCUCCUGGUGGGGGAUCCAUCCAGCUUUCUGUGUUACCUGAGCAGAAGUGCAGACUCCUACACUUGUGAGCAGAUGUGGGGGCAGCAGUCUCACCCCUAGAAAAACAAGUUUGCAUUGGGUGUGAGACCAGCAGGCUCCAAGAUGAAUCAAUGUCAGGGCACUCUCUGAGCUGCUUCAGGGCACCUCCUGUCCUCUGAGAAGCCUUGAGGGCACCUGAACCCCGAUGUCUGCAGUGGAUGGGCAUGAGGGAUAAGUAAGAGAUAAGUAGUUUGUUUCACACAGAUGACUGGCCAGAGAAUGAUGGAUCUGAGAUGUUCAUUGGAUCUUGCAUGCAGCAGAGCUGGAGCAGCAUAAACAACAUGGGGAUGAAAACUCUGUUAGCCAAGCCAUCUUUUAUUUUGUCUUCAAUGGGAAAGAUAUAGGGUGAGACUGACAGACUGUGUUUGCACUUACACAUUAUUGGCAGCAACAGGAUGUAAUAAAAACAGGAAAUGGGGGAUUUCUUGCAAAAAUACAAAACUGCUUUUGUGUUUUAAGUGUCAAAAAAUCCUCCUAUUAGAGCUAGAGAUUAACUUUGCAACAUACACACUUUGAAGAAUAUAUUUUCUUAUCUAAACAUUCAACAGAGAUCUCAUCUAUUCUCCCCUGCUGAUGUCAGGGAGCUGAUUUGUCCUUUUAUUGGCCUAGUAUCUGAGAGUGUCAAAGCAGCAAAACAAAAUGUAAAUAAUACCCAUUUUAUCCUCAAACUCUAAGUUGCACCAAAAGGAUUUUAUUUUCACAUUACUGAACUGUUGUUACCCUAAAGCAUCCUCAGAUAUGUAUAAGUCCUGAAAUUGACUUUCAGUGCUUUGCAAUGGCUGUGUGCACACUUUUGGGAUGUUCCCUGCAAGGAGAAUUAUGCUAAACCCUGUACUGGUUCUCUGACCAUCUGCUAUGUACGUACAUAUUGCUCCAAGGAUGACACUUCAGGGUGCUACAGAAGUAAGUAGGGAAAUCACCUGUAGAAAAUAAAAGUAUAAAUCCAUUCCUCAUCACCUUCUUGUUGUCCUACUUCCCUGGACUUAUACAAGUUAUCCUUGGACUUGUAACAAAAUUUUCUGCCUCUGAAUGUUUUAUCUUCUACUUCUCUGCCUGAUUUCUCUGAUCAUUUAGUAGCCUUUAUUUGUGAAAAUAGCUAUAUGAGGAGCAGAAGACUCUGUUUAGGAGAAAUUCUGGGCAAUGGCCAUUGUUCCUAAGACUUUUUAAUGCUGAAAGUUCCUCCAAAAAGCUUCUUUGUGUUCAAUGAAGACAGAAAGAGGCAGGGAGGGUGACUAAAGGUAUCUUUAGGCUGUCUUGUGUGGGACUUAGCCUUGGAGUUCCUUGCUGGCCUUGAGAGCCAGGAUGUUUUCACAGCAUCCUCUGGCUGUACUCACUGGGUCAAGAGUCUGGGGCUCUGGCACAGAAACUGCUGCCAGGGCAUUGUUUCUUCUUAUUUCAUGGCCACAUCUCCCUGACAGGACAUCAGAACAAAGAAGCAAGAAAAAUCUGAGCCUUGGAACUUGGCCAGACACUUGAACUUGAAGUAUUCUGUAUUGCAUUUAACCAAUAACUUUUUUUAAGCAGACUGGAUAUGAUUAGAAAGUCUAGAAAAAGUCCAAAAGCCAAUUGUGAUUAGAUGUGACUGUGAGACUAUUUAUAUUCUGUUCUGAUAGAGAAAGUUAUGCCUACAGUUCCACCAGCUGCUUGUGGGAGCCAGUGGCAAAUUCUAGUCUGGUGUGUGAAGUGCAAAGAUGAAACUAACCUUACAUUUUCCACUCCUGACACCAAGUCUGCCUUCCUUCAAGGAGUGUUGUGAUAACAUGAGUGAAGCUCUCCAGGAGCACUUGAAGGUGAUUGUGUGGCAACUGCUUAUGAAAAAUUUGCACAAAUUUGCGUUAACUCUUCAGUCCCAUAACAUAUAGUUGCUUUUCAACCUCUGAGAAUACAAUAGUCACUAGAAUAAAUGAGGAUUUUUCUCAUGUAAAAGAUGUUUCCUUGAUGUCUUGUAGCUGCUCUUUGGCACCAUGCACUCUACAGUCACUUGAAUUAUAUUGCUGUGAGACUCUACAGGAUGAGAAGAAAGUAAAUGUUUGAAGUUCAAGCUGUAAUACUGCUCUGCCAUUUGAACUUGCUCAAGACAUCACCAGAGACUGCAAGGUUUAGGAUGUUGAUAUCACCUGCAGUCACAUCUGUCUCUUGAGAAAUUCUGGGCUUGAUGUGCACAGUACAACCAAUGUCUGUUCAGUUACACAAGUUGGUGCAGGCUGUGCAUACCUCAAUUCCCAGGGCAAUUUAGCAACAGUGCCACGUGUGCUGGAGAAAAUGAGAACGUAUUAUUAUUGUCUUCCUUACAAGAACCCGUGAGUUCAUUUGAUUUGCUUGCAACAUCUUCAGGAUUCUGUAAUCUGGAUACUCACUGUGCUUUGCAGUUACACUUCCUUUUCUUGCUGUUCAGUAGCUGAGGAUGAAGCCUCAGACUGAAUGUAGCCAUUGAACUCUGGAUGUUGAAUCCAUCCUCUUGGUAACUGCUUCCUGCCUUGGCUUUGUGAACUGUUUCAGACCUGACAGUGAACCUCAGAUGUACCUGAACACCAGCCAGUGCUUCACAGUCAGUCUGGAGGCAAGGGCCUGGCUACAGUCAAUGGAAGAUGUGAAGGAUACCAUCCAGUCAGAGUUCCUCUUCUCCUUCCUUCUCUCUCUUCUGCUUCACCUAUCCCCUACCUCCCCACCUUUUCCUUUCCCUUUCUUCUCCUUAACUGCAAGACCUGUUUCAUCUUUAUGUUCAGCUUCUCCCACAUCUCUGUAGAAAGAAAUGAGAACUUAUGAAACAACAAGUGAAACAAAGGCUUAUGAAAGCUACUACACAUCUUUGUAAUUAAAGUUUGAUUAUUGUUUCAGUUGUGCCCUCAUUAAGCGGUAUGUAAACACAGAUGGAUGUGAAGACAAGCAGACACAGAGCUCCCAUUAUUGAAGAUAAAUAUGAAUAACAGGAAUCCAGAGAGAGCUCUUGCUCUCUGGAUCAUGUAUCUUUGUGUAGAUUAGGCUUCUUAGAAGUUGGAGUUACCCAAACAGACACAAAGGAAGUACUGAGACAAAAGAAGCACAAAUUUCUUCACACUUGAUAUAAAGUUGUUGCUCAGCACAGCAGCCAUCCCAGAGAGUUUUUCUGUCUUUCCAUGCAUUAGAUAUUACAAAUGUGAACUACUGAAGGGUAACAAGGCAGCUGUGCUCUUCAUGAGGUUAAGGCAGAGCCUAUUCAAAACCAGAGCAGCUACACGGUGUUUACAUCUCUCAAAAGCUCAAUAAACAGUGUUUGUUUGUGAUUUGUAUCUGCCUUUUGCUGACAGCGCUCCUCCAUUAACAAGGGCGUCCCUCCCUGGAGCAGGGGAGGACUGAGCCAGGGGAUGCUGUGGAGGGCUGGGAGUAUGCCUGCCCUUCAGCCAAGGGUGUGUUUGUAGCCUGUGUAGACAUUCCCUGGUGAACUUUCAGCCAGCUAGAUGAAGGUGUGGAUAGCAGUUUAGCCACCCAGCCCGGAGCGCAGCGGAGGCACCCUGCGGGAUUUCCCCUCUUCCCCAGCCGGUUUUGCAUCCUGCUGUGAGCUCCAGUUUGCUGCAGCAAGCAGACAGUUAUAUGAUCUAAUUAACUAAAGAAUAACCUGAGGAGAUGAAGCAGUGUUGGGGCUGGUGAGAGGGACACCUCUGGAUCUGGCUCUGUGGUGCUGUCCCCAUCACUCCACUAGCCUAGCUUUGGCAGAGUCUCCUUGUGUUCUGAAUCUGAGAUACUGUGCAUGGGGCUUUUCUUUUUCUCCCCUAAAUUCUAGAAAUCCAGCUUAGCAUUAGUGUGAUGUUUCAAGUAUUCCACUAUUUCUCAGAAAUUUCUGAUACCAGUAGCCACUUUAAUAAAUGAUUUUUUUAUUUCAAAAAUAUUUUUAAUUUAAUAACUAAUUGAUAAUUUAUUUAAUAACGUAUGUUAAGUGAGAGGGUUGCCAUAUAACUGCUAUGUCAUGAGUGUUUAUUAAAUCUAAGUUAGAUCCUUGUUUGCAAUAUUUUAUAAACCCUCCCAAUUUUUCUUUUUCUAUGUAGUUUUCAAGAAAACAAUUUCCUCGGUGUAUGAAUUAGUUAGAGGAAAUAUACAGGUCUACUUAUAGAAUCAUCUUGAAAAUACAUAAUGACCUUCAUUUAGAAUUAUGCUGUUCUGAGCAUUGUGCCAUACUGGAACCUCUAAUGGUGUGGAGCUUUCAAGUCUGAAGUUGCUGUCAUUGUAUUGCAAAGGUUCCAUAUUGCUAGAGUUUCCUGCCUCCUUGAUGUUUCUCGUAGGCAGCUCCUCUAAGCACUGACACUUCCCCUUUCUCACAGCAGCCAACCAGCUCCAGGUCCCUCUCACCUAACCAAUCCACUCUUUUAUAACACACUUCUUCUUACUGGCUACAGCUGCAGCCUGUUAGAGUCAGGCCUGUUCCCAAUCUCUAAUAAUUGGCUCAGCUGCAAUUCCUUAGGGGUAAGAUUACUUUCUAUACUACCUUUAAUUUCUUAUAUUGUAUCCCCCUACAUGAAGUAGCUGAUGAAACAAUACUUUUUUUGAAGUAAAGGCUACGAACUUCCUUUAUUUAUCUCCAAUUUCAACUUUGCAAACUGAUCAAUUUAAUUGGAGUUUAUUUAGGGCAUAUCCUCACAAACCUUCCCUUAUCUAAGUAGUCCUAUUGAUUUAUGGUUUACUCUUGUGCUAAAAACCUGAAAUAUCUUCCUUUGGUGUUUUGUUAAAUUUUUCCAAAUGAAGAAUUUUUUGUUUGUGUGAGGUGUUCCCUUUUAAAUUUUAUGGCUUAUAAUGACACUAGUCCAGGCCUUUCUGCAGGUCUAAGUUCUUUUCAGAUUACUGAAGGAAUUUACUGUCUCACCUGAAAAGAUUUCAGCUUGAAAACCAUUAGCUGUUCAGCACUGUCAGAAAAUUCUUCUGUUCCUUGGGUGUGCAUGCAUGCAAGAAAUGCACAAGUUAAAUAUCUUGCUGAUUUUGUUUAGUUUUAGUCAUCUGUACUGGCCUUAUUUCUCUUUAUGUGCAGCAAAGUCCAAAUAUAGAAUCCCGAAUCAUGGUGAGGAAUCCUAGUAAAUAUACUGCACUUGGUCUGCCUGUCCUAUCAUAAAAGUACCAAGAAAUGAUGAUUAAUCCAUUCAUUGACCAAGUUCUGGGUCAUUUUUAUGUUCUCUUCCAUCACAAAAGCAGACAAUAGGAAUCAGUGAUUCCAGGUUUCUGUGCAAUGUCAGACUAUUACUUUGGAAGAAAGACUCAUACUUCAAAUGUUAUUGAAAAAAAUCAUACAUAAUACCUGUAGAUAAAUAGUUUUAAAGUUUUAAUCUGUAUUGUUCAUCAGUUUCAGACAUCAGUGUUGAUCAACAUUAGAAACAGAUUUAACUAAACAAAAUGUUAGGCUCUUCUUGCGAAGAGCUGACUCAUUGCCACAAUAUUAAUGUAUUAGCUGCUUACCCAAAGGUGGCAUAAAUGUUUGAAAUUUCAUUUCAUUGUGCAGUAUUUAGCAUUGCUGAUGUUUGUGGAGCUGAUUAUUCAGUUACAAAAGUAAUUUAAAUAGUCAUAUAAAUUUUAUUUAAGCCUCUUUUUAGACAUAUCACAAAAGAAGUACAAACCCCAAAUCCUGCACAGAACUGAGCAGGUGGCUCUCCAACAGCUAACUGAGAUAAAAGAAGAAACUAGAGUGUGUGUAUUGUUAACUUAGGUUCAUAAGUUAAAUGAAAACAAAGGUGUCUGGCCAGACAGCAAAUCUGUUCACUGCUGUUGCAGGCAGUCUGCAAUAUAAUCCCAUCAUACUUCUGAGAUUCGAGCUCAAACACAAAAGUAUUUAAAUUGUUCUCAAACACUAGGCAGGAAAAAUCAUAAGAAAGCUGUGUAAGGAGCAGAGCUGAGGUGGUACUGAAGGGAGAACUGAUUCUUAUCUGGAAUUGAAGAGAGAGACAAGAACCAUAGGGAAUGGGAUGAGCACAGUGAUAGAGAUGGUGAAAAAAGUUUCCCAGAAAUUCAUUAUCUGAGUUGCUCUCCUGUCCUAUCAGCUGGUUUCUCUUGCUUUGCCUUUGCUUUCACUAGCAGCUUUGAACCAGCUUUAAAAUCCUCUGCAGCUAACAAGAGGGUUUUUUCCUUUAUUUGCUAGUCUUUGUGUCUGAGUCCUAAGGGAGAGACUGGGUAAUUUUAUGUUCUGCCUGCAGCAUCUAACUUCCUCUUGUAUAAACGAGUUUGAUUCAGUGCCUGAGGGUCAGCUCAGUCUUCCUGCCAAAAAGCCCCCUGAAUUCAGAGGUGGGUGACCUUUUCUGAUGAAUGGUUUGCUUUGAGAAAGAUACAGGCCUGGUCUUCCCAAACACUGUAAUUUGUAAUUCAGAGGUGAAUUUGGUAAGUAAGAGCGAUGAACUACAACAUACAGAAAACACUACAGAGGUGUUUCCCUCUAACAUUUCCAAACCAAACAGGCUUAAUUGUCUAAUGCUAGAUUGCUUAGAGUUCCUUAAGGGCAGUUUGUGGGCAUUUGGCACCAGCCCUACCAGGGAACAGAGCAGCUCAUCCCUGAGCUGUGCUGGAGACAGGCUGUGUAAGGAUCCCACUCACCUCCUGUGGAGGCACAUAUCGCUUCUUGGCUCUCCUGUGGUUCCAGGUCUGUGCUCCAAAUGAUCCCUUAAAUGCAAGGUGAGUAUGGCCAGACACUCCCUCCAGUUAUCUGCAGGUUGAUAUAAAGUUUUUUUCAUGUAGUCCUAAGCCCACAGAGGUCAUUUUUGGUUUGAUCCUUUACUCGGAAGCUGUGCACCCGAGGCUGAGGCAUAUCCAUUCCUUUUAGCAGGCUUUCAGCUCCUCAAGGGGAUGGACAUCAGUAUGAGAAGCAAACCAGAGACAUUAAAUGAGGUCAAGGUCACGGUAUGUAAGCAUUAGAUAACACAAUAAUUUAAAAUGAUGAAUGAAAUAGUUUAAAGAAUGUUAAUUAUAACCCACAGUACAGACACAGGAUGGCCCUCGUAGCGUGGGCUGUGCAAAACUGUGUGAAUAUCUCUGGCAGCUGGGGGCA
Molecule: long non-coding RNA, 16161 nt
Organism: Haemorhous mexicanus (house finch)
Lineage: Eukaryota; Metazoa; Chordata; Aves; Passeriformes; Fringillidae
Exons: 3
Source: RefSeq, a predicted model, not a curated record